This 811-nucleotide long non-coding RNA is filed under the name Gossypium barbadense (sea-island cotton). RNAcentral's name for it is "long non-coding RNA (GBAR_LNC012316)". Lineage: Eukaryota; Viridiplantae; Streptophyta; Magnoliopsida; Malvales; Malvaceae. The record is from RNAcentral.
CCCUAGCCCCCAUUUUGCUUUACCAGCCGACCUUUAGCUAAAUCAUUUGGCCCUCGCCUCCAUCGUCCCCAACCGCAGGCACAUUCUCCUUUUGAAAACAAUUUUCAACCUCGAGACCCCUCCUUCACCCUAGAUUUCAACGAAGCAAGGAGGAGUCAACGGCAGAUUCGCGAGGUAAGCCUCCUAUUCUCUUCUCUUUUUGAAUAUCAGAAUCACAAAUCCAAAAAGAAAAACUAAAGAAAAUAAAGUAUUUAGGGAUUUUUUGAAUAAAAAAUCACCUUGCUCUUUUUUUUGAUUGCUUUGUAUUGCUUCUCUGUGCGUAACGUUUACAAAGAUUAAAAUCAUGGCUUUAUAGCCGAAAAAAAAAAGAAAAAUCAAUGAAAAAAAUACCAUAUUUUCUUUGUUUGUAUUAGCUGCUGUGGUUUGUCUGUUCUUCGCAGGUACGGGGUGCGUAGGCAUCAUACGGAGGUUGUGUUGGCGCUGGCGUGGUUGCUGGAGGGUACGGAGGCUAGGGCUGCUGCGGCGCAAGCAGAAACUACUAAGGUUUCUGCCUUGGCUCUUGUUUUAGGCAUUGGGCCUAUGUAUUAGGUUUUGGGUCUAAGCAAUGGGUUUGGGCUAGGGUAUUAGUUAUUGGGUUUUGGUUUGUAAAUGGACAUUUAAUUAAUGGACAGUUAAUUUUUUUGUUUAUUAUUAUAUAUAUAUUUUUAUUUUAGACUUUGGUUCUGACGUGGGCCCAAGCAAAUUGGCUCAUUUACACCUCAACUUGAGUUUUUCAAAAAUAGAUAAAGUUAUUAAAUUAAUACUAGCUCGU